UCAAUGCAGAGUACAUGGGAGGUGAUCAAAUUCAAAUUGAUCUAAGCCUAAUCUGUGGAAGAAUCCAGAACAGUUCUCAUGAUGUUCUUCAAAAGCAAAACAAAGCUCUUGCCACUACUUCAGCUCACAACCAUGCUUCAACGUGGCUUCCUAGAGCUGGGGCCACUGUGAUGUGUUACCUGAAUUAUUCCAGUGAUAAAAACACCACCA
Taeniopygia guttata (zebra finch) is the source of this 210-nucleotide non-coding RNA. NCBI's taxonomy places the organism in Eukaryota, Metazoa, Chordata, Aves, Passeriformes, Estrildidae. The record is from RefSeq and is a predicted model, not a curated record.